AUCNUGUUAGUAGCUUGCUACUAACUUGGUUAGCGGCGGACGGGUGAGUAACACGUUAGGCAACCUGCCCACAAGAUCGGGAUAACAUUCGGAAACGAAUGCUAAGACCGGAUAAACAAUUCGGCCGCAUGGCUGGAUUGGGAAACGCGGAGCAAUCUGCGGCUUGUGGAUGGGCCUGCGGCGCAUUAGCUAGUUGGUGGGGUAAUGGCUCACCAAGGCGACGAUGCGUAGCCGACCUGAGAGGGUGAACGGCCACACUGGGACUGAGACACGGCCCAGACUCCUACGGGAGGCAGCAGUAGGGAAUCUUCCACAAUGGGCGAAAGCCUGAUGGAGCAACGCCGCGUGAGUGAGGAAGGCUUUCGGGUCGUAAAGCUCUGUUGCCAGGGAAGAAUAAGGAUGAGAGUAACUGCUCAUUCGAUGACGGUACCUGAGAAGAAAGCCCCGGUUAACUACGUGCCAGCAGCCGCGGUAAUACGUAGGGGGCAAGCGUUGUCCGGAAUUAUUGGGCGUAAAGCGCGCGCAGGCGGUUCUUUAAGUCUGGUGUCUAAGUGCGGGGCUCAACCCCGUGAUGCACUGGAAACUGGGGAACUUGAGUGCAGAAGAGGAGAGCGGAAUUCCACGUGUAGCGGUGAAAUGCGUAGAGAUGUGGAGGAACACCAGUGGCGAAGGCGGCUCUCUGGACUGUAACUGACGCUGAGGCGCGAAAGCGUGGGGAGCAAACAGGAUUAGAUACCCUGGUAGUCCACGCUGUAAACGAUGAGUGCUAGGUGUUGGGGGUAUCAUGCCCUCGGUGCCGAAGUUAACACAUUAAGCACUCCGCCUGGGGAGUACGGUCGCAAGACUGAAACUCAAGGAAUUGACGGGGACCCCCCAAGCAGUGGAGUAUGUGNUUAAUUCGANCACCCGAAAACCU
Molecule: ribosomal RNA, 916 nt
Filed under: uncultured Bacillota bacterium
Lineage: Bacteria; Bacillati; Bacillota
Description: bacterial SSU rRNA
Rfam family: Bacterial small subunit ribosomal RNA
Source: RNAcentral